RNAcentral lists this ribosomal RNA (259 nucleotides) under uncultured bacterium. RNAcentral describes it as "partial 16S ribosomal RNA". It matches the Rfam family "Bacterial small subunit ribosomal RNA", at positions 795 to 1052 of the family's 1533-position model. The record is from RNAcentral.
CCACGCAGUAAACGAUGAAUACUAGAUCUAUGCAAUAUACCGUAUGGGUCUAAGCGAAAGCGAUAAGUAUUCCACCUGGGGAGUACGCCGGCAACGGUGAAACUCAAAGAGAUUGGCGGGGGUCCGCACAAGCGGAGGAACAUGUGGUUUAAUUCGAUGAUACGCGAGGAACCUUACCCGGGAUUGAAAUGUAUACGCUGGAUUUGUGAAAGCGAGUCUAUUCACUUCGGUGACGUAUAUGUAGGUGCUGCAUGGUUGU